This 375-nucleotide long non-coding RNA is filed under the name Betta splendens (Siamese fighting fish). RNAcentral describes it as "lncRNA (ENSBSLG00000022707.1)". The record is from RNAcentral. Lineage: Eukaryota; Metazoa; Chordata; Actinopteri; Anabantiformes; Osphronemidae.
UGCAGCCCCGCCCCCAUAAUUGACGUUUCUCGGUAUCGAAAUAAGAAAAUUAAAUAAAUAAAACUAAUGAAUGAUUGCAGAAAGCGCGUCAAAAGUGAACAGACGCACCGAAACACCUGCACGAAGGUUCCAACGUCACGUGUGGAGCGUUCUGGAGUGAUGAAGUUUGCAUUGGAGCAAAUAACCCACGUGCUGGGUUUCAGACAUUCCAUGGAGAUUCCCUCACUGGAGGAGAUGGUGAGCCUGAGUCCACUGUAAAGGGAUCCAGCAUCAUCAUGUGGUAGGACUGUUUAAGAGACUGAGCAAAACAUCAGGUUACAGGUGUUAAAAGGAAAAAUCCACGACUCUACUACUGUGGAAUUAAAUUUCACAAGC